CCUACGGGUGGCAGCAGUGAGGAAUAUUGGUCAAUGGGCGAGAGCCUGAACCAGCCAAAUCGCGUGCAGGAUGAAGGAUCUAUGGUUUGUAAACUUCUUUUAUAUGGGAAUACAGUGAGGAACGUGUUCCUUUUUGUAUGUACCAUAUGAAUAAGCAUCGGCUAACUCCGUGCCAGCAGCCGCGGUAAUACGAAGGAUGCGAGCGUUGUCCGGAUUGGUUGGGUUUAAAGGGUGCGUAGGUGGUUAAUUUAGUCAGCGGUGAAAGUUUGUGGCUCAACAAUAAGAUUGCCGUGGAAACUGGUUAACUUGAGUAUAUGUGAGGUAGGCGGAAUGCGAGGUGAAGCGGUGAAAUGCAUAGAUAUAACGAAGAACUCCGAUGGCGAAGGCAGCUUACUAAACUAUAACUGACACUGAAGGACGAAAGCGUGGGGAUCAAACAGGAUUAGAUACCCGAGUAGUC
RNAcentral lists this ribosomal RNA (460 nucleotides) under uncultured bacterium. Its description in RNAcentral is "partial 16S ribosomal RNA". It matches the Rfam family "Bacterial small subunit ribosomal RNA", at positions 338 to 795 of the family's 1533-position model. The record is from RNAcentral.